RNAcentral lists this transfer RNA (76 nucleotides) under Catenibacterium sp. AM22-15. RNAcentral describes it as "tRNA-Thr". It matches the Rfam family "tRNA". From Rfam's summary of the family: Transfer RNA (tRNA) molecules are approximately 80 nucleotides in length. Their secondary structure includes four short double-helical elements and three loops (D, anti-codon, and T loops). Further hydrogen bonds mediate the characteristic L-shaped molecular structure. tRNAs have two regions of fundamental functional importance: the anti-codon, which is responsible for specific mRNA codon recognition, and the 3' end, to which the tRNAs corresponding amino acid is attached (by aminoacyl-tRNA synthetases). tRNAs cope with the degeneracy of the genetic code in two manners: having more than one tRNA (with a specific anti-codon) for a particular amino acid; and 'wobble' base-pairing, i.e. permitting non-standard base-pairing at the 3rd anti-codon position. RNAcentral also lists the same sequence under 1 other name. The record is from RNAcentral. Lineage: Bacteria; Bacillati; Bacillota; Erysipelotrichia; Erysipelotrichales; Coprobacillaceae.
GCCGACUUAGCUCAGUAGGUAGAGCAACAUACUCGUAACAUGUAGGUCACAGGUUCGAUUCCUGCAGUCGGCACCA